This 834-nucleotide ribosomal RNA is filed under the name Triticum aestivum (bread wheat). RNAcentral describes it as "partial small subunit ribosomal RNA". Lineage: Eukaryota; Viridiplantae; Streptophyta; Magnoliopsida; Poales; Poaceae. The record is from RNAcentral.
CUUGCUUUCUGCCAGCGCACUGGGGGAUCCCAGUUCUGGCAGACAGUGAUUCAGCUCCUCCCCGUGCUACGGAUUGGCACCUCCAUCUCGGUGGGUUCCGAGUCCUCGACCCUGUUUUGGUUCGACCGCCGGCUUGGGGAUUCCCCUCUGGCCGCCCGCUUCCCGGGCUUAUUUGCCAUUGCGGCAGACCCUCGCAUUUCCGUCGAAGCGGCCCUUAUUGACUUAGGGCGCCUCGCCUUUCGGCGCUCCUUUGGCCCCCAGGAGGUUGACGCGUGGGACGCCCUUCUACAGGACAUCGCUCUUUUGCCAAUGCAGGUAGAGGGCGCCACCGACUCCAUGGCGUGGCGUCUGGAGCCCUCGGGAUGCUUCUCCACGAAGUCUCUGUAUGCUGCCAUCGCCCCUUCGCUGGCCCCUGAGCCCUUUUGCCUGAUCUGGGACAUUCGUCUCCCCCUCAAGAUCCGGAUAUUCCUCUGGCAGUGGAUCCGAGGACGUCUCCCCUCUGGGGUGGAAGUCCGCAAGCGCAAUGGCCCUGGGGACGGGAUGUGUCCCCUGUGUGCCACGGUGGAGGAUUCGAACCACAUUUUUUUCAACUGCUCCACUGCCCAGUUCCUGUGGUCGUGCUUCCGUGAAACGGUCGGCGGACAGUGGUGCAAUUCCAACUUCCCUGACCUACUCGCGGAGAUCCAUGCCUCCUCCCCACGCUACCGCCAUAUUAGAUGGUUGUGCAUUGGGAUACUUGCAUGGACGCUUUGGAAUAUUCGCAACAAGCUCGUUAUUCAGAAAGUGCCUCUGCGACGUGCGACUGACGCGAUCUUCAAAAUGUGUGGCUAUUAG